CCAGAGUUUGAUCAUGGCUCAGAUUGAACGCUGGCGGCAGGCCUAACACAUGCAAGUCGAACGGUAACAGGAAGCAGCUUGCUGCUUUGCUGACGAGUGGCGGACGGGUGAGUAAUGUCUGGGAAACUGCCUGAUGGAGGGGGAUAACUACUGGAAACGGUAGCUAAUACCGCAUAACGUCGCAAGACCAAAGAGGGGGACCUUCGGGCCUCUUGCCAUCGGAUGUGCCCAGAUGGGAUUAGCUAGUAGGUGGGGUAACGGCUCACCUAGGCGACGAUCCCUAGCUGGUCUGAGAGGAUGACCAGCCACACUGGAACUGAGACACGGUCCAGACUCCUACGGGAGGCAGCAGUGGGGAAUAUUGCACAAUGGGCGCAAGCCUGAUGCAGCCAUGCCGCGUGUAUGAAGAAGGCCUUCGGGUUGUAAAGUACUUUCAGCGGGGAGGAAGGGAGUAAAGUUAAUACCUUUGCUCAUUGACGUUACCCGCAGAAGAAGCACCGGCUAACUCCGUGCCAGCAGCCGCGGUAAUACGGAGGGUGCAAGCGUUAAUCGGAAUUACUGGGCGUAAAGCGCACGCAGGCGGUUUGUUAAGUCAGAUGUGAAAUCCCCGGGCUCAACCUGGGAACUGCAUCUGAUACUGGCAAGCUUGAGUCUCGUAGAGGGGGGUAGAAUUCCAGGUGUAGCGGUGAAAUGCGUAGAGAUCUGGAGGAAUACCGGUGGCGAAGGCGGCCCCCUGGACGAAGACUGACGCUCAGGUGCGAAAGCGUGGGGAGCAAACAGGAUUAGAUACCCUGGUAGUCCACGCCGUAAACGAUGUCGACUUGGAGGUUGUGCCCUUGAGGCGUGGCUUCCGGAGCUAACGCGUUAAGUCGACCGCCUGGGGAGUACGGGCGCAAGGUUAAAACUCCAAUGAAUUGACGGGGGCCCGCACAAGCGGUGGAGCAUGUGGUUUAAUUCGAUGCAACGCGAAGAACCUUACCUGGUCUUGACAUCCACGGAAGUUUUCAAGAUGAGAAUGUGCCUUCGGGAACCGUGAGACAGGUGCUGCAUGGCUGUCGUCAGCUCGUGUUGUGAAAUGUUGGGUUAAAUCCCGCUACGAGCGCAACCCUUAUCCUUUGUUGCCACCGGUCCGCCCGGGAACUCAAAGGAGACUGCCAGUGAUAAACUGGAGGAAGGAGGGGAUGACG
RNAcentral lists this ribosomal RNA (1187 nucleotides) under Escherichia fergusonii. RNAcentral's name for it is "bacterial SSU rRNA". It matches the Rfam family "Bacterial small subunit ribosomal RNA", at positions 1 to 1184 of the family's 1533-position model. Lineage: Bacteria; Pseudomonadati; Pseudomonadota; Gammaproteobacteria; Enterobacterales; Enterobacteriaceae. The record is from RNAcentral.